Molecule: ribosomal RNA, 394 nt
Filed under: uncultured bacterium
Lineage: Bacteria
Description: partial 16S ribosomal RNA
Rfam family: Bacterial small subunit ribosomal RNA
Source: RNAcentral
CCUACGGUGGGCUGCAGUGAGGAAUAUUGGUCAAUGGACGCAAGUCUGAACCAGCCAUGCCGCGUGCAGGAUGACGGCUCUAUGAGUUGUAAACUGCUUUUGUACGAGGGUAAAACCCGAUACGUGUCUCGGGUUGAAAGUAUCGUACGAAUAAGGAUCGGCUAACUCCGUGCCAGCAGCCGCGGUAAUACGGAGGAUCCGAGCGUUAACCGGAUUUAUUGGGUUUAAAGGGUGCGUAGGCGGUUUGAUAAGUUGGAGGUGAAAUGUCGGGGCUCAACCCCGAAACUGCCUAUAAUACUGUUGGACUAGAGAGUAGUUGCGGUGGGCGGAAUGUAUGGUGUAGCAGUGAAAUGCUUAGAGAUCAGACAGAACACCGAUUGCGAAGGCAGCUUAC